GGAGGACCGUAGCUCAGUGGGUAGAGGGCAUGCUUAGUGUGCCAAAGGUCCUGAGUUCAAUCCCCGGCAUCUCCA
This is a non-coding RNA of Podarcis lilfordi (Lilford's wall lizard), 75 nucleotides long. Lineage: Eukaryota; Metazoa; Chordata; Lepidosauria; Squamata; Lacertidae. The record is from the annotation of a GenBank genome assembly.